UGGGGAAUUUUGCACAAUGGGGGAAACCCUGAUGCAGCGACGCCGCGUGAUUUAGUAGGCCUUCGGGUUGUAAAAAUCUUUUCUAUGGGAAGAAAAUGACAGUACCAUAGGAAUAAGGACCGGCUAAUUACGUGCCAGCAGCCGCGGUAAUACGUAAGGUCCGAGCGUUGUCCGGAAUCAUUGGGCGUAAAGGGUACGUAGGCGGGUAAGCAAGUUAGAAGUGAAAUCCUAUAGCUCAACUAUAGUAAGCUUUUAAAACUGCUCAUCUUGAGGUAUGGAAGGGAAAGUGGAAUUCCUAGUGUAGCGGUGAAAUGCGCAGAUAUUAGGAGGAAUACCGGUGGCGAAGGCGACUUUCUGGCCAUAACCUGACGCUGAGGUACGAAAGCGUGGGUAGCAAACAGG
This 402-nucleotide ribosomal RNA is filed under the name bacterium. Its description in RNAcentral is "partial 16S ribosomal RNA". It matches the Rfam family "Bacterial small subunit ribosomal RNA", at positions 355 to 776 of the family's 1533-position model. The record is from RNAcentral.